AAAACUUUUAACAACGGAUCUCUUGGCUCCAGCAUCGAUGAAGAACGCAGCGAAACGCGAUAUGUAAUGUGAAUUGCAGAAUUCAGUGAAUCAUCGAAUCUUUGAACGCACAUGGCGCCUUCCAGUAUCCUGGGAGGCAUGCCUGUCCGAGCGUCGUUU
RNAcentral lists this ribosomal RNA (159 nucleotides) under Plectosphaerella cucumerina. RNAcentral describes it as "5.8S ribosomal RNA". It matches the Rfam family "5.8S ribosomal RNA". From Rfam's summary of the family: 5.8S ribosomal RNA (5.8S rRNA) is a component of the large subunit of the eukaryotic ribosome. It is transcribed by RNA polymerase I as part of the 45S precursor that also contains 18S and 28S rRNA. The record is from RNAcentral. RNAcentral also lists the same sequence under 7 other names. Lineage: Eukaryota; Fungi; Ascomycota; Sordariomycetes; Glomerellales; Plectosphaerellaceae.